This 505-nucleotide ribosomal RNA is filed under the name uncultured bacterium. RNAcentral describes it as "partial 16S ribosomal RNA". It matches the Rfam family "Bacterial small subunit ribosomal RNA", at positions 28 to 507 of the family's 1533-position model. The record is from RNAcentral.
GACGAACGCUGGCGGCGUGCCUAAUACAUGCAAGUAGAACGCACAGUUUAUACCGUAGCUUGCUACACCAUAAACUGUGAGUUGCGAACGGGUGGGUAACGCGUAGGUAACCUGCCUGGUAGCGGGGGAUAACUAUUGGAAACGAUAGCUAAUACCGCAUAAUAUUAAUUAUUGCAUGAUAAUUGAUUGAAAGAUGCAAUUGCAUCACUACCAGAUGGACCUGCGUUGUAUUAGCUAGUAGGUGAGGUAACGGCUCACCUAGGCGACGAUACAUAGCCGACCUGGGAGGGUGAUCGGCCACGCUGGGACUGGCACACGGCCCAGACUCCUACGGGAGGCAGCAGUAGGGAAUCCUACGCAAUGGCCGAAAGUCUGACCGAGCCACGCCGCGUGAGUGAAGCAGGUUUUCGGAUCGGAACACUCUGUUGUAAGAGAAGAACGGGUGUGAGAGUGGAAAGUUCACACUGUGACGGUAUCUUACCAGAAAGGGACGGCUAACUACGUG